RNAcentral lists this long non-coding RNA (9606 nucleotides) under Lynx pardinus (Iberian lynx). The stretch from base 7498 to 7582 matches the Rfam family "tRNA". The record is from RNAcentral. Lineage: Eukaryota; Metazoa; Chordata; Mammalia; Carnivora; Felidae.
GUCUUUCUGUGGUACCUCCCCAGAAAGUCCUGAGCUUACGUCUAAAAACAAAGCUUCAGGCUAUCCCAGCUCUUCCCAGCUCGCUGUGUGAAAAGCUAACAUGGCCUUGAGCGCGGGCUAGACUUGGCUGGGAAACCUCCUUCUCCUGUCUGGGGUGUGAUUCUAGCCAGCUCAGGAGCCCAGGUGAUCCCCCAUGGUUGGGGACCAAGAAGACGUAGUUUGUGAAUCCAGGUUAAGCAGUCACUGGCUGUACCCACGAAAACUCCAGAAAGUGCCGCCAUCCUUGAGAAAAAUCUGCCUUCAGACUGACCGAGGUGCUGAUCGAUCCUUUCCGCAAAGGAGCUCCGGGAAGUGGGAAACUUUUGCCAGAGGACAGACUGCAGAAGGAUCCAAGAGUCACCUGUGCUCAGGUUUCUGCUGGAAUGAACUUACUCGGUAAGUAUUCCCCAAACAAAAGGCACGAUACUCACCUUUUGGCUUUAUCAGGUGUUAACAUUUGGCUGCAAAUAGGAUAAACCACUUGCACCACCCAGGUUCCUGGCUUCCUCAAUCGGAGGGGUUCUUGGGGCGGCAGGUGCUGUGGAUGGCUCUUUCCGCAUGUGCCCGGGCUGCCAAAGGACAGACAGGUGAUGCAAGGGCGAUAGAAGGUGCAGCACAUUAGCUCCGUGGUGCAUGCCGGAGGUGAGCAGUUUCAACAAAGCCAAGGGAGAAAAUCUACCUGACGGUGGUACGCCCUCAUUAGAGGGAUCAGACCUCUAAGGGGAAGUUCGUGGCUGUGGGGGCUUUGGAAGCCCCUCUCAACGAGAAACUUCUGUAAGGAUUCUGACCCCAUCCUUCACAACUUCUCAAGCAGCUGAGCUCAUCAGACUGGCUGAGGCUGAGGACGCUCUUUGCAGGAACAUUCUCUGGAAGAAGACUCAGGCAGCAUGGUGUGAGAACCUGUUCCGGUCUGAUGUGUGGCCCCUGUUCUGAUGCUUGAUGACACUUCUCAACUCCUGAAGAAUAAGGGGUGCACCUUCCCCCCCCCUUUUUGUAAAUCACAAAUCAACAGGACGUAAUAGUUCCAAUGCCACUUCUCUUUCUUUCCAAAACUCCAGCUUCUGUCCCUUCCAGAGUUCAGUCCUAAAAGAGCACUCAGAAGAAGUAUUCAGAAAAUGUGGGUUUAGCACAGAACAAAAGUAGCCCAACUCCACCCCUGGGGAGUCAUUAAAAGCAGUAAGCCGACAGCUAAUCUACAACACUGAACAGUAACAAGUACCUGUUCUGUAAGUAAUCCAGGGAGCCUGAGUUGAUGUGUGUGAUUUGGGGCAAUCCCGAGUGCUUUCAUUCGGGGAGAAGUUCAUGCUUGUGUCAAGAUGAAACCUCACGCCCUCGGAAAAUGUAAAGAAUGCUGGCGUGUCUUCGUUAGUCUUCUGUAGUUUUCACACCAAGUAAAGACUGUAGAAUUUACAUGUAUUGUUAUUUAUUCUAACUGAAAGCAAACCGGCGCCCUAUUUGAUAGAUAUUACGCCUGGAGUCGUUUUAAAAUACUGGGUCGUGUCUGGAAAUGGAUACAAGUUCCUACAUGAUCACACUUUAAAAAAUCACUUAACUGUUUGCUUGGGUUUUCACUAGUGGGGGGAAAGAGAAAACAUGAUUUAAAAAUGUAAUCAUUACAGACCAUGUGCUUGACGGUGGGGAGGUAUGGAAACCAUACUCCCAGCCAGUUACACUUUAAACAAAAUGUAAAUACACAUACUUUAAGACUCAGAAUCCAGACAAGCAUUUACAUAGCAAUGCACCAGGAAUUUAACAUAUGUUAAAAUAGAGAAAACCCCAGGCCCCAAAUGGUGUCACUUAGACCAAGUUCCCAAACCCCAGGGGCUUAAAACCCCUUCUGACCGCAGUUUCCAUCUUGCCCAAGAAACGUGGCCUCAACCCGUCAGUCAGGAAAAAUUUUCUUUCCAUCAGUGGCAACCGGGGGCACUGGGUCCUCUCCGUCUCCCAAAGAAAGAUCAGGGAAUCUGUGUGAGAAGACGCCUUGCUUUCCUUCCUAGCAAACUGCCUGGUCUGGAAUAAUCGUUCCUCACCAUCUGUCUCUGAAAACCUUCCAUUUUCUACCAUUUCUCAGGACUUCCCUCCACUUGCUAGGUGGGGUGCUGCCUGAUUCAGGAAUGGCUUGGUAAAGCCAAUUAGGUCUUCAAAUGUACCUGGUUGAAUUUCAUUAUUUAGCACAUAUGAUGAGUGAUAUGUAUUUUCUUUCCUGAAGUGGGGUCCCAUUUCCUCCCUUCCUUCCUUCUUUUCCUUCCUUUCUUCCUUCCUUCCUCCUUUCUUCCUUUCUUUUCUCCUCCUGCCCUCCCCUCCCCUUUUCUUUCUCUUGUCUCUUUUUGUCACACAAAAAGACGUCAUCUCACAAAAAUGAUCUCUUCUUUUCAAACUAGGAUUUUGGGGGGGGGGGGGGGGGGGGGGGGGGGGGGGAGGGGGAGGGGAGAGUGGUUACCUUACUUGCUUCUUUCUAUCCCCAGGGAACUGUAGGUCUGUUCCCACUCCCUCUUUGUGGGUGUAGUUCGAGCAAACAGAUUCCUUUCCCCCUCAAACUAAGUGCCUUCUAAUUUUUACGAAUUAUAGGAACUUAAGUAAAACUUUAGUAGAUUCGCUCAUAUAAAUAAAUAUAAUAAAAUUCACAUGCCAGAUAAAUCCAUUUGUGUUCUGGAGGGGCUCAGACUUACACAGCAGGUAAGGAGCCUCGAGGCCACACCACCGCAUCUGGCCGGCCUGCCUCUUGCAGACAGACCCACAAGCCAUGUGUCCCCCAGUGCCCUUGCAAGCCGGCUGUCUGCUGGGAGGUGCAUUCCACACAGUCCUAGCCUAGGGUAUUGCUCCCUCGGGAAACGAGACAAAACAUCUAACCAAAUUAAAGGAAAAUCCAAACAAUAAGCGAAGGCAUUUCCUACAAUGCUGGUCUCUUUUAACACUGAUCAAAAACUUCUAACAUUAUCAAUCUGUUUCCUCUAUUAACAACAUUGCUUACUAUUUAUUUUGUUUCUUUUUUUAAAGCCUACUAUUGUGUGUGUGUGUGUGUGUGUGUGUGUGUGUCUGUCUGUCUGUGACAGAGAGAGAGAGACUUGGAGUUUUUCUGCUAUAAACACUGCUCGUAACUCACAUUUUUCUCAAUAUGACAUUGCUUUUCUAACUUUAUAGGAUCUUGCACUGUGCCUAAGUUUUAAUUUUUUCUGCAAUCAGUCCUGAAAGCAUAAAAAUAAAAAAAUAAGUUGAUGUCCUAGAAGGUUGCAAAAAUGGCCACAGGUUUUCACUCCUUGUGUCCAUUCCCUUUGCAAUGCAACUUUGCAGCUUCGCCCACCGCCCCCGUCGAGAAAUUGACCUGUUUCCGCACUCAUGACCCGCGCUGGCCAAUGGAAUGCGGUAGAAGUGACCGUGUACGCCAUUUGCUCUCUCUUAAAACCCCACCUCCACCCUGUGAAACGUCCAGGCUGGCCCAGUGCUAGGUGGGAGGCCGUGGCCUCGUUGCCCCCACCCCUGCCAAUAUCCAGCCAACCGGUAAACACACGGGUAAGGUCAUGCCGCUCGGUAAGGCCCAGCCCACCUGCCAGUUGACCUCAGUCUCAUGAGCGAGCCCCGCUGAGAUCAGCCACACCUGGCCCAGAGGGACAGAACGGCCCAGAUGACCUGCAGACACGUGACUAACAGUAAAUGAUUGCAGCUUUGCGGCACUAACUUUGGUCUGGGGCCUCAAAUACCUGAUUCACUUACAUUUUCUUUGAGCGUGUUUUGUUCUUAACUCUAACCCAUAUAAAGCCUACUUUUUUUUUGCAUAGGGUGAGGUAGUUAAGGGGCUUUUAUUUGUUUUAGCUAUAUGUGUGGCCAGUUUUCUCAACACUAUUGAACUUUCUUUCAUCACUGAUUUGAAAUGCCAUGGUUUUCAUUAACUAAAUCCCCACAUGCACAAGGGCUUGCUUCUGGACUGGCUAAUAGGUUCUGAUGUUUUAUUUUCUGUGUCUGAGCCAAUAACACAAUGUUUAAUUCCUUAAUCUGAGAGUAUGACUUGGUAUCUGGAAUGUUCCUGUGAAAUAAUGCAGGGGCCCAAUUAUUAGAAGUAAAGGGAGGGGAUGUUAUCUUAAAUACUUUCGUAUUUCCUCUAGAAUCCACGUAGCUCCUGUGGACAUGGUGGUGACUGCAAAAACAUUUGGUCUUCUGCAUUGCAAAUCUGUGGCGUUUAACAUACUAGGAAUAAAUUUGGGAGCCUGUGGUUUACAGAGAUGAUAUUUAUGGUCCUGAUCUCUUUUUGUCUUCACCACUCUAUCAGGUACAAGGUCAGCAAGCUGAGAAAGGCUAUAUCACCAUGAUGGUGGAGGAAGAAGCAGGGAAAAGAAGGAAAAGCAGCAGCAGCAGAAAAGGAGGAGAAAAAAACUAACAUCUACUGAGUGUUUAACUCUGUUAGUGUCUAUACCAAACACUGUACCUGCCUUGCCUUCUUUACAGCUUUGUGAGGUUAGUGCUAUUUAUAUAUCCAGUUUUCAGAGGAGAAGGUGAGAGUCCCAGAAGUUAUGUAACGAGUUCAAAGCCACACAGUCAAUGAGUCAAAAUUCUGAAUGAAUGUGAAUGCAAGGAAAAAAAAACAAACCUGGAAGAAAAUCCACGUCAUGGUUAGCGGUUGACUGGGAUGCCGUGGGAUUCUGCAGUCACACGGUGGGCGGUUUUCUCUCUCACAGCCUGGCUGGACCAGUAACCAAGGGAGGAGGCGGGGGCAAGACAUGUUCUGCGAUCGGCCUCACGGAGCUGUAUUACCCAGCCUGCCCCGCGCCGGUCUCGCCUGCCCCGUUCUCCCAGGACAUUGCACUCUUGCCUAGGAUCCGGCUUCUGCAUGACUCUCUAGUCCUUACCUUUAUAAGGGGUGGAACCAGAUCAAUGAAAGAAUUUUAUACAGAAAAGAAUUAAUGAGAAAUAGGUGACAAGGACGUUUAGAAGGGACAGGAAAAAUUCAGUUUUGCCCUUUACUUCCUGUUUCCGCUUCUCAGGCCCCCUGUCGCCCAGGUGUGCACACGUGGUGGGUGUUGGCCCUAUUUGGCUGUGUUCGUUAUAUUGCAACGGUAAAAAAAAAAGGUAAAGGUUGGAUUAUGAAUAUCGGGACAGAGGUGAUAACCUUUUUUUUUGGCCCAAAAGAAAAACAGAAUAGGACUUCGGAAAAGAGAAGAAAAUAGGGGGAAAUCAAUAACUUAUAAAAAGAAGAAUAGAAAGGACAAAAAAAAGUGAAAUAAAUUAAAGUCACAAAGAUGGAAAGGAUAACACGGAGUUGCCGGUAGGUCCAUUAAAUAGGAAUGGACUGAAUUCUAGUAAAAGACUCAGACAGGCAUUUUUCAUUUCAUUUCAUUUAUUUUUAAAAAUAUUUUUGAGAGAGGGGUGCCUGGGUGGCUCAGUCGGUUAAGGGUCCGGCUUCGGCUCAGGUCGUGAUCUCGCGGUCCGUGAGUUCGAGCCCCGCGUCAGGCUCUGGGCUGACGGCUCGGAGCCUGGAGCCUGUUUCCGAUUCUGUGUCUCCCUCUCUCUCUGACCCUCCCCCGUUCAUGCUCUAUCUCUCUCUGUCUCAAAAAUAAAUAAACGUUAAAAAAAAUUUUUUUUUUGAGAGAGAGAGUGCAUGCACACAAGCAGGGGAGGGGAAGAGAGGGAAACAGAGGCUCUCUAGCAGGCUCUGUGCUGACAGCAGACUGCCUGAUGCCUAUGAGGGGCUCGAACUCACUCAUGAACGGAGAGAUCAUGACCUGAACGGAAGUCAGCCGAAGUUUAACCAAUGAGCCACCCAGGUGCCCCUAGGCAUUUUUCAUUUUAAAAGACUACACAUAAAGUUAAAUGAAAAAGAGAAAAUCAAGGAAUGCAUAAGUAUAUGUAGCAAAUAUACGACAUUCUUAUUUGCUUUUUACUUGUACCUGACGAGGUGAAAUGAAAGGUUCAAGGUCAAAGACAAAGGUUAGGGUAUUGGGCUGCAACCUAAGGCAGCAAAGGUGAGCAUCUGGACGGAUGGGUGCUCUUCUCUUUCUUUCGUCUCCUCCUUUUUUUCCCUUUCUUUUUAUUUUUUUAAUGACAACAGCUAGUUUUUUGUUGAACAUUCACAUCUCAUAAAAAUAAUUAAGUACUGAGAUGAUCCAGGAAGCCAGCUUGAAGUGAGUCGCUUAAAGGUAAAAACAAUAUUGUUCUGCAGGGUUAAGAUUGUGAUUAGAUUCUUAAUUGGAUUCUGACUACAUCCAGUUAAAUUUAUGCACAGUAAAAUUAAAAAUUAAAAUUGAGAUGUUAGCUACUCUAGGAACAGAAAUAGAGUGUAGAGAAUACUACCUCUUCCAAACAAGUAGAAGGUAACAAAUAAACAAACUAAAAUAAAAGCUCAAGCCAAAAAAAAAAAAAACAAGAAAGGAGAAAAAAAAUGGAUGUACAAAUGUAAGAUUGUAGGAAAAACACAAAUUCAUUCAUUCAACAGUUAUAGUAUCGAGGGCCUACUAGAAACCACAUAUUGUGGGAUACAGCAGUAAACAAAACAUAGGAAAUAUCUGCCUUCAUGAGGCUUCUGUCCUAGUCAGGGGAAACGUAAUGGUUCAGAUAAAUGAACAAAUCAUGCGGCAUGUCUUACGAUGAUAAACACAAGACAAAUAAAUGCAAUGGAUAUGUUAAGGGUGGAAGAAAGCUUGUCAAAAAUGGCCUCACUGAGAAGGUGGUUUUCAAAAAAAAAUAUGAGGGAGGUAAAGAAUUGAACCAUGUGGAUAUGAGGGGAAGAGCAUUUCAGACAAGGGAAGUGCAAAUAUCCUGGGGCUAGCCUGAGCUUGAGGAGGCUACACAGAACAGAGGGGAGGGUAGGAGGAGGUGAGAUCAGAGGUGAGGCAGGAUCAGAUCAUUGUAGGACCUUUCACUUUAAGUGAAAUGGGUAGUCUUCAGAGGAUUUUUUGAGAAGAGGGAGAGGAUCUAUCUUUUUUUUUUUUCUUUUUAGGAGGCUCAUUCUAGAUGCUGCGACGCGAACAGACCACAGGAAGAAACAGCAGACGGUGAUUGGGUGGCUCCUGUGUAACCCAGGUGAGGGACCGUGCAAGUCAGAGAGGUGAGGUGGUGGGAAGGGCAGGGGAGUCUGGAGAGAUCGCAAAGAGGUUAUCCACAGGAUUUGCCGACAGAUUACAAGUGCGGUGCGCAAGAGAUGAGUCGGGGUGGUGUUUCUUAGGCACUUGGAACCGUGCAAGUAAAUUAAGUUUAUAAUUGCAAUUAACCCUAAAUCUGAGAUAUAUACCAUUAUCAUCCCCAAGUGAGCUGGAGGAGCCAGAGUUCCUGGCAGGUCGUUGGCCAGUGCAUCACCCUGUGGUGCGCUCUCUCUCUUCCUUCCUUUCAGAGAAACCUCCCAGGUUGCCUGUUCCCAAGGCUUUGACCAAACCCAGAUGCCCUGGCCCAGAGUGAGUGUGUGUGUUUGGCAAAACUGCCCUGCACUACAUAGAAAGGUGAAUGUUGCUUAAGAAAAGCCAAAUGCAGGGCGCCUGGGUGACUCAGUCGGUUGAGCGUCCGACUUCGGCUCAGAUCACGAUCUCGCGGUCUGUGGGUUCGAGCCCUGCUUCGGGCUCUGUGCCGACAGCUCGGAGCCUGGGGCCUGCUUCAGACUCUGUGUCUCCCUCUCGCUCUGCUCCUCCUCUGCUCGCGUUCUUUCUCUCUUUGUCAAAAAUAAAUAAACAUUAAAAAUUUUUUUUAAAGAAAAGCCAAAUGUGAUCUCUUGGCUUUUAAGCUUGUCUCGCAGAAAAUCAUCAUGUCACCUUGGAAGAGGUGAAACUGGUGAAGGCAGCAAAUGACUUUACUUGGUACCACCUUACAAACGAACAGCCCCAUCUUUCACGAAUCAAUGAACAUUUAUGAUGGAGGAAAAAUCAGUGGAUGGCACAUAUCUCAGGUUUAGGAUUGACUGCGAUUGUAAACCUGUCACAAUUCCAAGGGCAUAAUAAGUGCAUUGCAAAUAUUAGCUGUCAUCAUGACCAAAUAAGUAAAAUCUUUAACAGGUUUUUUUUUUUUUUUUGAGAAGUAAUGAACUUGGUAAAUGUUAGCAUUCGUUUGCAAAUUGUCUUCUCCUCCAUCAAAGAGACGGGGACUGAGACCUGGAAAUACAUAAAAGUUUAAAGGCUAGGACCCGCCACCGACUGAGAAUCCACAUAAAUGAUGCAAAACUCCUCUAAAAUUAUCAUGUGAGUCGGUGAAAGAUAAGAAAAUAAAGAAAGUUCUGCGACGUUUUUCCAAAUCAUUAUUUUUUAAGUGAGGAACACGUGCUCGAUACUCAGAAUUAAAGUCUAAUUUAGCAAAGAAAUUAGAACAGCAUCCUAUCAUCGGAAAUGCUUCUAGAGUUCCUUCCCUACGAUGUAGCCUCCUGAGUGGCUUUGCACCUGCCAGUCUGUGAAUGUCCCCACCUGCUUAAGUGCUUGGCACCUUCCCUUCCUGGUACCUACGCAAGAGUCUCCUUACCACAGCCAAAGUCUUCCCCAUACAAGUUUCUUUCUUAUCCCCAGUUCACCGCUUAUCCAUGAAACAGUGUCCCUUCUCAAGCCUCAGCAUCGAUAAGAUUCAUGUGAGCAGUCUGUUCAAAUGCAGAUUCCCGGGCUUCAGCCCCGGACUCCAGAUUUAGUAAACAGGUGAACAUGGGACUCUGUUUUUUAACAGAUGACAUUCUCAUACACAUUGUCCACUGACCGUCCUUGGAGAAACAUUGUUUUGAGAAUAGUGUGCAUCUUGGUGCUCAAAGUGUGAGCCACGGGCCAGCAGCACCUGUAGUGUUUGGGGCUGGUUAGAAAUGCAGAAUCUGGGGCCCCAUCUGAGACCUUCUGAAUUAGGAUCUGCCUUGUGACAACAUCCAUCCAUAGGCGCUUCACAUUCAUGUUAACUUUUGAGGAGCACUGAUUAGAUCAGACAAAAGAAAUAUGUUGACCGUAUGUUUUAGUAAGGGCUUUUUUGUACUUUGAGGCUUUAAUUGUAAAGUGUUUUUUGUUUUUUUGUUUUUUUUUGAGAAAUCAUAGACACCGUUUUCCAAUCCUCUGAUUUGGUUCCCUUCUCCAGAACAUGAAGAUUUCUUACGGAGAUUACUUUAUCUUUGCCUUUACAAAAUCAGUUUUGAAGAAUUUCUGGCUCAUCAAGAGAAGCAGGUGCUAUUUUAAAUCUAGUAUAAUUUUCUCAACCGUGCAGAGACAGUUCGUGCAGUUACUAAGUAUGUACGUUUGAUUUGUUUGCUUCAGCCAUGACAUUGGGGUCAUCCUCCAGACAAAUAUCUCAUCUCGCCUGAUGAAAUCAGGAAGGUGCUUCUGGUGUCCAAGGGAUGAAUGUCUCAUCUCCUGGGAGGGGACUGAAGUCCUCUGCCAGGGGAAACCAGAACAUCUGUUGCAGGCAAGAUCCAGCCUGCUGGCUGAGCGGAGUCUACGGAGGCACUUAGAAUAAAGCCUUGGGUCUUCAUCAGAAGACAUUGCCAUGGUCAUCAAGCCAUUUGCAAUGGAAUCCAGGAUGCGCUCAUAGGGACUAAAUACGCUUAUGAAAAAAUGGUUAUUAGUAUAAUAGUGGGUCCAAAAAGCUCACUGUCUCAGGCACUGACUUUCCUUUUGCUCAUUUGAAAAAAAA